Molecule: ribosomal RNA, 501 nt
Filed under: uncultured bacterium
Lineage: Bacteria
Description: partial 16S ribosomal RNA
Rfam family: Bacterial small subunit ribosomal RNA
Source: RNAcentral
AUUGAACGCUGGCGGCAUGCCUUACACAUGCAAGUCGAACGGCAGCACGGGUGCUUGCACCUGGUGGCGAGUGGCGAACGGGUGAGUAAUACAUCGGAACGUACCUUAUCGUGGGGGAUAACGCAGCGAAAGCUGUGCUAAUACCGCAUACGCCCUGAGGGGGAAAGCGGGGGAUCGCAAGACCUCGCGCGAUUAGAGCGGCCGAUGCCUGAUUAGCUUGUUGGUGGGGUAAAAGCCCACCAAGGCGACGAUCAGUAGCUGGGAUGAGAGGAAGAUCAGCCACACUGGGACUGAGACCCGGCCCGGACUCCUACGGGAGGCAGCAGUGGGGAAUUUUGGACAAUGGGGGCAACCCUGAUCCAGAAAUGCCGCGUGAGUGAAGAAGGCCUUCGGGUUGUAAAGCUCUUUUGUCAGGGAAGAAACACCGGCUCUAACACAGUCUGGGAAUGACGGUACCUGAAGAAUAAGCACCGGCUAACUACGUGCCAGCAGCCGCCGCCG